UCCUACGGGAGGCAGCAGUUGGGCGAAAGCCUGAUCCAGCCAUGCCGCGUGAGUGAUGAAGGCCCUAGGGUUGUAAAGCUCUUUCAACGGUGAAGAUAAUGACGGUAACCGUAGAAGAAGCCCCGGCUAACUUCGUGCCAGCAGCCGCGGUAAUACGAAGGGGGCUAGCGUUGUUCGGAAUUACUGGGCGUAAAGCGCACGUAGGCGGAUUGUUAAGUUAGGGGUGAAAUCCCAGGGCUCAACCCUGGAACUGCCUUUAAUACUGGCAAUCUCGAGUCCGAGAGAGGUGAGUGGAAUUCCGAGUGUAGAGGUGAAAUUCGUAGAUAUUCGGAGGAACACCAGUGGCGAAGGCGGCUCACUGGCUCGGUA
This 369-nucleotide ribosomal RNA is filed under the name Mesorhizobium loti. Its description in RNAcentral is "bacterial SSU rRNA". It matches the Rfam family "Bacterial small subunit ribosomal RNA", at positions 337 to 739 of the family's 1533-position model. Lineage: Bacteria; Pseudomonadati; Pseudomonadota; Alphaproteobacteria; Hyphomicrobiales; Phyllobacteriaceae. The record is from RNAcentral.